This 1364-nucleotide ribosomal RNA is filed under the name Sphingobacterium alimentarium. RNAcentral describes it as "bacterial SSU rRNA". It matches the Rfam family "Bacterial small subunit ribosomal RNA", at positions 63 to 1420 of the family's 1533-position model. The record is from RNAcentral. Lineage: Bacteria; Pseudomonadati; Bacteroidota; Sphingobacteriia; Sphingobacteriales; Sphingobacteriaceae.
CGGACGGGAUCUAGAUCUAAGCUUGCUUAGAUUUAGUGAGAGUGGCGCACGGGUGCGUAACGCGUGAGCAACCUACCCAUAUCAGGGGGAUAGCCCGGAGAAAUCCGGAUUAACACCGCAUGACACAACGACUCGGCAUCGAGAUGUUGUUAAAUAUUUAUAGGAUAUGGAUGGGCUCGCGUGACAUUAGCUAGUUGGUAAGGUAACGGCUUACCAAGGCUACGAUGUCUAGGGGCUCUGAGAGGAGAAUCCCCCACACUGGUACUGAGACACGGACCAGACUCCUACGGGAGGCAGCAGUAAGGAAUAUUGGUCAAUGGAGGGAACUCUGAACCAGCCAUGCCGCGUGCAGGAUGACUGCCCUAUGGGUUGUAAACUGCUUUUGUCCAGGAAUAACCACCACUACGUGUAGUGGCUUGAAUGUACUGGAAGAAUAAGGAUCGGCUAACUCCGUGCCAGCAGCCGCGGUAAUACGGAGGAUCCGAGCGUUAUCCGGAUUUAUUGGGUUUAAAGGGUGCGUAGGCGGCUCAUUAAGUCAGGGGUGAAAGACGGCAGCUCAACUGUCGCAGUGCCUUUGAUACUGAUGAGCUUGAAUGUGGUUGAAGAUGGCGGAAUGAGACAAGUAGCGGUGAAAUGCAUAGAUAUGUCUCAGAACUCCGAUUGCGAAGGCAGCUGUCUAAGUCAUUAUUGACGCUGAUGCACGAAAGCGUGGGGAUCGAACAGGAUUAGAUACCCUGGUAGUCCACGCCCUAAACGAUGAUAACUCGAUGUUGGCGAUACACAGUCAGCGUCUUAGCGAAAGCGUUAAGUUAUCCACCUGGGGAGUACGCCCGCAAGGGUGAAACUCAAAGGAAUUGACGGGGGCCCGCACAAGCGGAGGAGCAUGUGGUUUAAUUCGAUGAUACGCGAGGAACCUUACCCGGGCUUGAAAGUUACUGAAUUAUCUAGAGAUAGAUAAGUCCUUCGGGACAGGAAACUAGGUGCUGCAUGGCUGUCGUCAGCUCGUGCCGUGAGGUGUUGGGUUAAGUCCCGCAACGAGCGCAACCCCUAUGUUUAGUUGCCAGCAUGUAAUGAUGGGGACUCUAAACAGACUGCCAGCGUAAGCUGUGAGGAAGGUGGGGACGACGUCAAGUCAUCAUGGCCCUUACGUCCGGGGCUACACACGUGCUACAAUGGAUGGUACAGCGGGCAGCUACCUGGUAACAGGAUGCUAAUCUCGAAAAGCCAUUCACAGUUCGGAUUGAGGUCUGCAACUCGACCUCAUGAAGUUGGAUUCGCUAGUAAUCGCGUAUCAGCAAUGACGCGGUGAAUACGUUCCCGGGCCUUGUACACACCGCCCGUCAAGCCAUGAAAGUUGGGGGUGC